UGUUAUUUUCCAGUGUGAAAAAAUAUUUCAAGAUGGCGAGUGAACGUUGUGUUUCUGACGAUCUGCUCAACGAUUUGGAAUUUCCGGUUGAUUUGUUGGACCUUUUUGCGACAAACGGCAUUGACGAAUUCGAUUUGUUAACAAUCACACCCGAGCUGUUAGCAGAGUUGUUGCUUAGAACUGAUGUGCCCUGGGUUGCAGGCAAAGUUUACGAGCGGAUUUGUGCAUGGAAAUUCCGAAAUAAAAUAUCUGUUUUAAGCCUGCUCAGAGCUCGUCACAUCGAGCUUGAAGGCGAAUGUAGUUCCAGUGAAGCAGGUACCCAUCAGCAGAACAGACCUCCAGCAGAACAUUCGACAGAAUCCGAAAGCUGGGUAGCAGAACCCGACUUGUUGGAAGAACUACUACUACCUAUAAAACUUGAUACUGAUUACAUAGUUGAAGUAACAAACGUGGUACAGUUUAAGGGUACUACUUAUAGAAAUAGCUAUUUCAUGUCGCAAUUCAUGCAUCAUCUGAUGUAUUUGUGCGAAAUUUUAGAAAUUCUUCGCUUUUCUGAUAAGUUGUACUUCAUUGCUCAAUUAUGGGUGUAAAGUCCGUACUGGACUUUAACUUCUUGACUGUGAUAUUUCACGGUCGUACGAAGCAAUACGUUUUCUUUGCUGGUUAAAGCUGGAAUGAAUUUAUUGUCUUCUCGAAUUUAUUACAAACUCCUAGCUGGAGACACUUGAAGCACCGAUAUGAAAAAUGCUAUGUACACGAUCACCAAUCAGCGAUCGUUGUCCAUGCGGGAAAAGGAAAGAUAUAAAUCCAUCGCUGUACACUCGGUAACAGCAUGGUUCAAUAAAUUAGUAAUGCGACACUUCUGUUUGUCGCCAUAAACGCUGACAGAUAUUUUACAGGCAUUGAACUGAAGGUUCAAUGCCGGGUAGAAUUAUCCUUCUCAGCAUGUUCCCACUAGUGUGGUCUGCUGGAAGUGCAUAAUGGAAAAGCAUGGGAAAUGACAUGUGGGAUGCACAUGUCACACCAUUCCCCUACGGGCCAAAAUGUUAACGGUAAAGAUUCGGUUUAGCUUCAAAUGCCUCUCACAAUUUUGUUUGCAUUCACUGAAUGUAUUUAUCUGCUUUUUUUUUGUUAAUUUGUUGGUAUGUAAAAUGUCUAUUGAUUUCACUACUUUCACCCCUUCCUAAUAGCGGGGGAUGAUCAUUGUAUGUAUGUAUUUUGAUUAUUGUUACUUUUUUUUCACUUUUUUUUUACUAACCUUGUUUUAUGUACUUCUGCUCUUUUUCCAUUUUGAUUUAUAAUUAUAGCAUUUGAUUCUUUUAGUUGUUCAAUCUGAUAGGGACCACUAUAAAUCGGUUGUAAUUUAUGCCUAUUUUCAAUUUGUAAAUAUACUGUAUCACCUAUUUGUAAUUCUGUUGGUGUAAUUGUUCUGUUCAUACUAUUUGUUCUUUUGUCCUUUCUGUUUAAUAUUGUUUGCAUGACAUUAGCGUGAGUGAUUUGUAAUCUGAAUUUUAGUUCUUUUUGGUAAGAAUCUAGAUUAUAUAAUGGGUCUACUUGCUGGUUUUCACAAAAAUCAAAAGCGUUAAUUUUUUUUCCAAAAAUAAUUUCAAAGGGAGUGAAGUUAUGGUCUGUGCUUGGGGUUG
Molecule: long non-coding RNA, 1643 nt
Organism: Ochlerotatus camptorhynchus
Lineage: Eukaryota; Metazoa; Arthropoda; Insecta; Diptera; Culicidae
Exons: 4
Source: RefSeq, a predicted model, not a curated record